This 525-nucleotide ribosomal RNA is filed under the name uncultured bacterium. Its description in RNAcentral is "bacterial SSU rRNA". It matches the Rfam family "Bacterial small subunit ribosomal RNA", at positions 983 to 1509 of the family's 1533-position model. The record is from RNAcentral.
GACAUCCAGCGAACUUGGCAGAGAUGCCUUGGUGCCUUCGGGAACGCUGAGACAGGUGCUGCAUGGCUGUCGUCAGCUCGUGUUGUGAAAUGUUGGGUUAACGUCCGCAACGAGCGCAACCCUUAUCCUUUGUGCCAGCGAUUCGGUCGGGAACUCAAAGGAGACUGCCGGUGAUAAACCGGAGGAAGGUGGGGAUGACGUCAAGUCAUCAUGGCCCUUACGAGUAGGGCUACACACGUGCUACAAUGGCGCAUACAAAGAGAAGCGACCUCGCGAGAGCAAGCGGACCUCAUAAAGUGCGUCGUAGUCCGGAUCGGAGUCUGCAACUCGACUCCGUGAAGUCGGAAUCGCUAGUAAUCGUGGAUCAGAAUGCCACGGUAAAUACGUUCCCGGGCCUUGUACACACCGCCCGUCACACCAUGGGAGUGGGUUGCAAAAGAAGUAGGUAGCUUAACCCUCGGGAGGGCGCUUACCACUUUGUGAUUCAUGACUGGGGUGAAGUCGUAACAAGGUAAGCGUAGCGAG